This 256-nucleotide ribosomal RNA is filed under the name uncultured bacterium. Its description in RNAcentral is "partial 16S ribosomal RNA". It matches the Rfam family "Bacterial small subunit ribosomal RNA", at positions 524 to 778 of the family's 1533-position model. The record is from RNAcentral.
UACGAAGGGGGCUAGCGUUGUUCGGAAUUACUGGGCGUAAAGCGCGCGCAGGCGGUUCUUUUAAGUCAGGGGUGAAAGCCCAGAGCUCAACUCUGGAAUUGCCUUUGAAACUAGAGAACUUGAGUACGGGAGAGGUGAGUGGAAUUCCGAGUGUAGAGGUGAAAUUCGUAGAUAUUCGGAAGAACACCAGUGGCGAAGGCGGCUCACUGGCCCGUUACUGACGCUCAGGCGCGACAGCGUGGGGAGCAAACGAGGA